This is a non-coding RNA of Cyanistes caeruleus (blue tit), 876 nucleotides long. NCBI's taxonomy places the organism in Eukaryota, Metazoa, Chordata, Aves, Passeriformes, Paridae. The record is from RefSeq and is a predicted model, not a curated record.
UUGUGAAAUAGCAGUGGUGUCACCUCAUCUCACCUCACAGACAAGGAAGACAAAAGCAUGAAGGAUUUUCAAGUAAUGGCAGAGAAGUUCCUGAACCCAUGGCUUGACAUAAACCUACCACAGGAGCUAGAGCUUCAUGAUUUCUAUCAAAAGAACAUUUUAUUCUACAGUUUUGUGCUUGCUGCUUUUUCUUCUCAUCUGAGGGUUCCUGCAAUGCUAUGAGGAAAAUUUCUGAGCAACCAUCAUUAUGAUUUAUAAAGCCUUCAAACCAGGCUACUCAGGAGACUACCUGUGAGUUUAUGGCACAGCAGAGACGAAUGGAAACACCUGACCUGCUCAGCCCUGGUUACUCCAUCUCUCCCCUGAAACGCUGCUCCUGGAUCCUGGACUGCUGACAUCUAUCAGCCUCUGGGCAUGCUGUGCAUUUGAACCAACACUGGUAGAAGCUAGCAUGGUCUGAGAGUGUGGGACUGGGACCACAGUGGUUUUCUGGUUGAGAGUAAGGAAAAUGUGGGAGAACAGGUCAAGAAGUUGUAGAUUAGAAUUACUACUCUGCAAGUCAUGCAGCUUACUGUUUUUAGUGUGAAUCAAGGCAGCUGUUUGAUGAGAAGGCUUUGCAUGUACAUAGACACUGAAUUCACAAAGAUACUUAAAAGCCUUUUAGUAUGGUAUAGUACCUCAUAGUGAAAAAUAUUUUCCUUUAUUAAAAAUGAUUGAAUGCAACAAUUAAUUAAAUUGUUAAGAACUUCCUUUAGUUUCAAUAGGGACUGGACACGAAGGAUCAGCACUAAGAAGCAGAUGUGAUGAGUAAGCGUGCAUCCCUUUUGCACAGCCUGCUUUCAUGUCACAAGGCAAAAUAAACAGAGAUACCACAAA